CAUGCCGUAAACGAUGAGUGCUAAGUGUUAGGGGGUUUCCGCCCCUUAGUGCUGCAGCUAACGCAUUAAGCACUCCGCCUGGGGAGUACGACCGCAAGGUUGAAACUCAAAGGAAUUGACGGGGGCCCACACAAGCGGUGGAGCAUGUGGUUUAAUUCGAAGCAACGCGAAGAACCUUACCAGGUCUUGACAUCCCGAUGAUCGCUCUAGAGAUAGAGUUUUCCCUUCGGGGACAUUGGUGACAGGUGG
This 249-nucleotide ribosomal RNA is filed under the name uncultured bacterium. RNAcentral describes it as "partial 16S ribosomal RNA". It matches the Rfam family "Bacterial small subunit ribosomal RNA", at positions 796 to 1041 of the family's 1533-position model. The record is from RNAcentral.